GCAGGCUUCAAACAAUGGGAAAAUGGAGCAGACUAAGAAAUGAGUCCUACUUUGGAUGUGUGAAGUUUGGCUUUGGUGGCAUCACUCUGGGGAGGCUUCCUUGAGCUUCCUCCACUGCCCCAUCCCACCUGUGCCAGUAAGCAUCACUCACUCUCUUGUGCUCUCUUGCAGCCCCCUGCUACCUGCUUCCAGCUUUCACAUUGAGUCACCGUGUAUUUGCUUAUCUAUCUCCAUCAACAAACUCCUGACCUAGUUGAGGGCAGGUUCCAGCUCUAGUCAUUCUUACCUAUGUUGCAUAAGCCAGUGCUUCUUAAACAUUAUGAUGCCUCCAAAUCAUGAACCACAGGGAUCUUGUUUAAAAAGCAGAUUAAUUCCACAGGUGUGGGGUGUGGCCUGAGAUUCUGCGUUUCCAACAGGCUCCCAGGGAUGCUGAUGCUGCCAGUCGAGAACAACACUCCAAGUAGCCAGGCCCUAAGCAACUUUUGAACAGGGCCUCUGUUUCACACCUCGGUGCUGAGAACACAAUACAAGGUUUGAAUGACUACCCGCCCCAGUUGUUAAAUGACUAGCUGCCAAAUCUACCUAACAAUUCUCAUGUCUAAUAAACCCGCAAUAGGACCUCCUAUACUCAGGAUACUUGUUACUGGAAACAAUUCGGGUGCAGACAAAUGGAUGACUAGCCCCUCAUCAUAGAAAGGCUCCACGUGGCUCACCUCAAUAGCAAGCAGACGCCUUCCUCCCCAUCCCCUGAAAUCUGUCGACUCUGUCAUUCCCAACAGGUCAGCUAUCUUCUCCCUCCAUACGUUGUUUGUUUUCUUUGUAGCAUUACUACUCACUUUUUAAGAUCAUUCUACUCAUGAAUCUCUUUCCUUAUUGUCCAUCUUCCCACUGGAGGAUAAGGUCCAUGAAAGCAUGUCUGUCGUAUCCCAUCACUUCAUCAGUGCAGAAUACAGUGCCUUAGGCAAUGGAAUUCCAUGCACUUAGGCAUUGGAAUUGGGGCACUGGUCUUCUACAAAUUCCAGUGGACCCAACCCUCGAGGUGUGCAGGCUUUUGAACCACUGUUGCUCUUCCGGUUAUAAACACUGAAUGACUCAGAGCCAGAAAGGCAGAGAUCCAAUGGACACCAUCAUGUUUUCACCCUGGAGCAGAGGCAGGGAUUCAUCAGGAGAGCGCUCCAUUGCUUUUAACCUCAGUUGGCAUUUCAAAUGUUGGAAUCCUCUGGAAAUGCUGAUUCACAUGGAAAAACAAACGGGGCUCAUUCUUUUGUGACGAUUCUUAUUUGUGAGGAUCCUAGGACCUCCUGUGCUGUUAACGUGUGUUCAGAGGCUGAGCAAAGCUCUCCAUUUUCAUCCCAGUGUAAUAGCUGGAUCUUAAGUUAGCAUCAGGGAAGCAGCCUUAUGGAAAAGAAGGAAUUUUGUGAGUAUAUAUGACCCUGACUCACUCGUCUCUGUGAAUACAUUCUAGCCCGUAGCCUAGAUGCUUAAGCACCUCUCACUUUUACAAAAUACGUGAUCUGCUAGUUCUAUGACUCUUGCUUAUGUA
Molecule: long non-coding RNA, 1543 nt
Filed under: Equus caballus (horse)
Lineage: Eukaryota; Metazoa; Chordata; Mammalia; Perissodactyla; Equidae
Description: lncRNA (ENSECAG00000047663.1)
Source: RNAcentral